ACUGCGAAGGGGGGACGGAGAAGGCUAUGUUGGCCGGGCGACGGUUGUCCCGGUUUAAGCGUGUAGGUGUGUGUUCCAGGUAAAUCCGGUUCACUUUAACACUGAGGCGUGAUGACGAGGCACUACGGUGCUGAAGUAACAAAUGCCCUGCUUCCAGGAAAAGCCUCUAAGCAUCAGGUAACAUCAAAUCGUACCCCAAACCGACACAGGUGGUCAGGUAGAGAAUACCAAGGCGCUUGAGAGAACUCGGGUGAAGGAACUAGGCAAAAUGGUGCCGUAACUUCGGGAGAAGGCACGCUGACACGUAGGUGAAGUGAUUUACUCACGGAGCUGAAGUCAGUCGAAGAUACCAGCUGGCUGCAACUGUUUAUUAAAAACACAGCACUGUGCAAACACGAAAGUGGACGUAUACGGUGUGACGCCUGCCCGGUGCCGGAAGGUUAAUUGAUGGGGUCAGCGCAAGCGAAGCUCCUGAUCGAAGCCCCGGUAAACGGCGGCCGUAACUAUAACGGUCCUAAGGUAGCGAAAUUCCUUGUCGGGUAAGUUCCGACCUGCACGAAUGGCGUAAUGAUGGCCAGGCUGUCUCCACCCGAGACUCAGUGAAAUUGAACUCGCUGUGAAGAUGCAGUGUACCCGCGGCAAGACGGAAAGACCCCGUGAACCUUUACUAUAGCUUGACACUGAACAUUGAGCCUUGAUGUGUAGGAUAGGUGGGAGGCUUUGAAGUGUGGACGCCAGUCUGCAUGGAGCCGACCUUGAAAUACCACCCUUUAAUGUUUGAUGUUCUAACGUGGACCCGUUACCCGGGUUGCGGACAGUGUCUGGUGGGUAGUUUGACUGGGGCGGUCUCCUCCUAAAGAGUAACGGAGGAGCACGAAGGUUGGCUAAUCCUGGUCGGACAUCAGGAGGUUAGUGCAAUGGCAUAAGCCAGCUUGACUGCGAGCGUGACGGCGCGAGCAGGUGCGAAAGCAGGUCAUAGUGAUCCGGUGGUUCUGAAUGGAAGGGCCAUCGCUCAACGGAUAAAAGGUACUCCGGGGAUAACAGGCUGAUACCGCCCAAGAGUUCAUAUCGACGGCGGUGUUUGGCACCUCGAUGUCGGCUCAUCACAUCCUGGGGCUGAAGCAGGUCCCAAGGGUAUGGCUGUUCGCCAUUUAAAGUGGUACGCGAGCUGGGUUUAGAACGUCGUGAGACAGUUCGGUCCCUAUCUGCCGUGGGCGCUGGAGAACUGAGGGGGGCUGCUCCUAGUACGAGAGGACCGGAGUGGACGCAUCACUGGUGUUCGGGUUGUCAUGCCAAUGGCACUGCCCGGUAGCUAAAUGCGGAAGAGAUAAGUGCUGAAAGCAUCUAAGCACGAAACUUGCCCCGAGAUGAGUUCUCCCUGAGACUUAGAGUCUCCUGAAGGAACGUUGAAGACGACGACGUUGAUAGGCCGGGUGUGUAAGCGCAGCGAUGCGUUGAGCUAACCGGUACUAAUGAACCGUGAGGCUUAACCUUACAACGCCGAAG
Molecule: ribosomal RNA, 1506 nt
Filed under: Salmonella enterica subsp. enterica serovar Pullorum
Lineage: Bacteria; Pseudomonadati; Pseudomonadota; Gammaproteobacteria; Enterobacterales; Enterobacteriaceae
Also listed under: 2 other names
Description: partial 23S ribosomal RNA
Rfam family: Bacterial large subunit ribosomal RNA
Source: RNAcentral